GGGGGGGGGGGGGGGGGGGGUGGGGGGGGGGGGGUCGAGCGGAGGGGCCCUGCGGGGGUGGGGGGCUCGGGUGGCGAACGGGUGAGUAGCACGUGAGUAACCUGCCCUUGAGUUUGGGAUAACUUCGGGGAACUGGGGCUAAUACCGGAUAGGAGGUCCUGCUGCAUGGUGGGGGUUGGAAAGUUUCGGCGGUUGGGGAUGGACUCGCGGCUUAUCAGCUUGGUGGUGGGGUAGUGGCUUACCAAGGCUUUGACGGGUAGCCGGCCUGAGAGGGUGACCGGCCACAUUGGGACUGAGAUACGGCCCAGACUCCUACGGGAGGCAGCAGUGGGGAAUAUUGCACAAUGGGCGGAAGCCUGAUGCAGCAACGCCGCGUGCGGGAUGACGGCCUUCGGGUUGUAAACCGCUUUCGCCUGUGACGAAGCGUGAGUGACGGUAAUGGGUAAAGAAGCACCGGCUAACUACGUG
RNAcentral lists this ribosomal RNA (468 nucleotides) under uncultured bacterium. RNAcentral's name for it is "partial 16S ribosomal RNA". It matches the Rfam family "Bacterial small subunit ribosomal RNA", at positions 38 to 507 of the family's 1533-position model. The record is from RNAcentral.